GAAUGAAUCUUUAUUUGGACUAAAUAACCUCUGCUUAGUUACUUAUGGUCUUUUCCUUUUUAUUGGUCUUCUCGAGUUUGGGUUCAUCUUAUCUCCGCAUGACUAAGUGAUUGUUUCAAAGUGUUACAGACUUUGCCUUUGUGUUCUUAAAUCUAUUUUGCCAUUUUUGAGAAAUGUUAGAUUAGUUGAAAUAUAAGGUCCAUUUUUUUUAAUAUUGUGUUUCUCAGUCGAAUUGAUAUGAACAUGUCCUAUUGUUUUUCUAAUCGGCUUUUUAUCAUUUAAGAUUCAUGACAUGUUUUCUGUUGUUAACUAUGUAUUAAUUUUCUUCAUAUUUUCUUUGUUUGAUCAUCUAAUAACUACCUUCAGUUUUCUAAUUUGAUUGAUCAUGUGUUGCCUUCCUUUACUCCACCUCCUUUUUUUUUUUUUGAUAAUAUAUUAAUAAGCUUUACCUUUCCUUCUUUGCAUGGAUAUUGAUUGAGCUCCACGUGGACUCUUUUCCCUUUGCAUAUUCAUCAUGGACCAUUGAGGUCCACCCUUUUGAGUGCCCGAAGAUUGAAUCCUAAGUUGAUUACAUGGAGCAUAAACACGAGGAGUUGGAAGAAAGAAAAACAGGUCAAAGUCUCAUCAGUGAAGCCACUAAGAGACUUGAAUAGUCUCAUAUUUUUCAUUGCUUUAUUUAUCUUAGCUAUCUCUUUAUUUGUUUAUUCAUUUAUUCAUCUGAGUGUCGAAGCCAAAGUUGUAAACUAAUAUAGGUGAAGCAGAUUUUGGGCCAAAAGGGCUACAAAAUAUAAUUUACGAUAGGUUAUGAGCCUAAUGCCCAAUAUUUAGAUUAGGAUAGGUGAUGAUGGGUCGAAAGUUCAAAUUAGCUUAGGACAGGUUUAUUGAUUUGGGCCUAAUAAUUCUCUACUAAGUUGCCAUAUUUAUUUUAUGCAAGUCUUCUUUUUUUCUAAAAUCACUUUCUUUUCAAAAACCAACUUCUCUUUUUCAAAGUUAGUUAAAGGUGGUUUUUAAAUUGUCCGGCUAACUGCAAGUUAGCGGACAUUUUAGGUGCCUUUAAAAUAUUUCUAAGAUGUUAAUAAGAACCUCUUACCUAGGAUUUUUUAAAAGACCAAGUCUUUUUCUGUUUUAAGACUUAGGAUUUUUCUUAAAAGUUUUUUUAGUUUCUUUUCAAAUAAAUAUAGUGGCGACUUUAUUUGUUUUGAAAUUUUCUUUAAAGUGUCGAAGUAGUUUUAAAAUUUGAAAUCAAUGUUUUCCAACCCUUCGAGUUAAGCAGGGAUAAAGCAGAAAUGGAGACUCUGCUGGGGACUUUAACUGUUUAUGUGUUUAUAUGUUUCAAUUCUACAGUAUUUGAUAACAUAGUCCCUCAUGAUGAUUAGUAAAUUGUUUUGGAAUUUCAUGGAUGUCUCGGCCCCUAUUAAUUAAUUUCAAAUAAUGUUUUGGAAAUACGACGGUUUAUCCGCACGUAAGGCGUUCGGUGGCUGUUCGUAUUUUCAAACCCAAGUUUUUUGCUUGGGCGUUUGUGUCUAAACCCACUCUAGACACCUAGGAUAGAGCGAAACCAAAAACCUGAGUCUAGGAUGACCCAAUACUUGAGGGGGUAUUGGGCCUAUUAGAAGACUUGCCCUACGUCUAUUGACCUUGAGUCAAUUAUAGACAAAUCAUAUUUAUGUGCUGAAGAAAUAUAUAUUUGUUUAAUUCAAUUCAUUAUCCUUUAGGGGUAAGGGGAAGGCUUACUCUAUUUACUUUCACAUGAGGAUGCUUUAAUCAUCCACCAAUUAAGGAGAAAACUUAAAGCGAACCAGGCAAGAGGUUGAUUAAUCUGGACAAUUGCAUGAUUUUCCAAACUAAUGAUCUAUGAGUAUGAAGCACAGUUAUACGAAAAUUGCUUGAUCAUCAACAAAUGUUGUCUAUGACAAAAAGUAGACAAAGUUAAGUGGGUGAAGUUCAGUGAAGGAGCAUCUAGUUUUUGUAUCCCCUGCGCGGGACUUGUUCUUUUUUUCAUGUUAUUUCCUUUUACCUAAAGAAUUGUAUCCCUCUUAGGUUACUUUUGUAGGCAUUUGUGCCCUCUUUAUAUAUAUCUAUAUAGAUAUGGGGGAUAAUGGAUUGGUUUUAAAAAGUAUAUACUUCCUUCAAAUACGUUAGGCCAACCUUUGUCUCAAAAAGGCCAUCCAAUUAGGAUGCACGUUUAUUACAAUAUGCUUGUAUGAUAUAACUAUUUAUGUGCUUAUACGUGUUAUGUUGAUUCGAAUUAAAGGCAAUUUGAUCCGAUCUUAUUUUCCAUAGAGCAUCUCUAGGCAAAAAUAUACCCACUAUAGAAAAGUCCGGUCAAAUAUAUUCCAAGUCUCCCAAGUCUCUCAAAAAAGUUUGCAAUUAUUUUCUAAAGCGUUAUUCUACCAUUUUCAGGAAGGCUGACUAUAGACUUAGAAGAAGUCAUUGUAGGAGUUAGACCAAAUAGACGAUGUACUAAA
Molecule: long non-coding RNA, 2468 nt
Filed under: Capsicum annuum
Lineage: Eukaryota; Viridiplantae; Streptophyta; Magnoliopsida; Solanales; Solanaceae
Description: long non-coding RNA (CANN_LNC014595)
Source: RNAcentral